UACGGAGGGAGCAAGCGUUGUUCGGAUUUACUGGGCGUAAAGGGCGCGUAGGCGGUCAGCACAAGUCAGUUGUGAAAUCUCCGGGCUUAACCCGGAAAGGUCAACUGAUACUGUGCGACUAGAGUGCGGAAGGGGCAACUGGAAUUCUUGGUGUAGCGGUGAAAUGCGUAGAUAUCAAGAGGAACACCUGCGGCGAAGGCGGGUUGCUGGGCCGACACUGACGCUGAAGCGCGAAAGCCAGGGGAGCGAACGGG
RNAcentral lists this ribosomal RNA (254 nucleotides) under uncultured bacterium. RNAcentral's name for it is "partial 16S ribosomal RNA". It matches the Rfam family "Bacterial small subunit ribosomal RNA", at positions 524 to 776 of the family's 1533-position model. The record is from RNAcentral.